Molecule: non-coding RNA, 22 nt
Filed under: Arabidopsis thaliana (thale cress)
Lineage: Eukaryota; Viridiplantae; Streptophyta; Magnoliopsida; Brassicales; Brassicaceae
Source: RNAcentral
UAAAUGAAGUAAUGCCCGCUGC